This 75-nucleotide transfer RNA is filed under the name Stegodyphus mimosarum. It matches the Rfam family "tRNA". From Rfam's summary of the family: Transfer RNA (tRNA) molecules are approximately 80 nucleotides in length. Their secondary structure includes four short double-helical elements and three loops (D, anti-codon, and T loops). Further hydrogen bonds mediate the characteristic L-shaped molecular structure. tRNAs have two regions of fundamental functional importance: the anti-codon, which is responsible for specific mRNA codon recognition, and the 3' end, to which the tRNAs corresponding amino acid is attached (by aminoacyl-tRNA synthetases). tRNAs cope with the degeneracy of the genetic code in two manners: having more than one tRNA (with a specific anti-codon) for a particular amino acid; and 'wobble' base-pairing, i.e. permitting non-standard base-pairing at the 3rd anti-codon position. The record is from Rfam by way of RNAcentral. Lineage: Eukaryota; Metazoa; Arthropoda; Arachnida; Araneae; Eresidae.
GCCUUCGUGGUGUAGUGGUCAGUACACUCGGAGCUUAUAUCCGAGAUGUGCGUGGUUCUAAUCCCAUCGAAGGCA